This 1345-nucleotide long non-coding RNA is filed under the name Homo sapiens (human). RNAcentral describes it as "HSALNT0284318". The record is from RNAcentral. Lineage: Eukaryota; Metazoa; Chordata; Mammalia; Primates; Hominidae.
CUUGUGGGAGCCUAGUCCAGGUGAGCUGCUCCCCUGUGCCCGUGACUGAAUCAUCUCAUUGAAAUGCAAAGAUGGGCUGACUACUUGGUGCUAGGCAAGGAAACAAAAAGGCAUCUUUUAAGUCUAGGCAAGUAAACCAAGCAGCAUUUGCAGGAAUGAGUCCCAUUAAAAUAUACAGGUUUGGUACUACUGGGUGGAUGGUCACUGUAGCCUGGUUUACAGCAUGCAAGUUCUGCACCAGUCUGUAUUCAUUAGUCCCUGGUUUCCGCACUGGCAAAAGCAGAGUGUUCCAUGGUGACCAGCAUUGGGCCAAGACCCUGUGUUCCAAUAGCCGCUUCAAAUGCCCUUGAAUGCCCUGUACGGCUUCUUGGGAAAGUGGGUAUUGACAAACCCGAACCGGAAUUUCCCCCGGUUUUAGUUCUACUGUCACUGGUGCCUGGUUCCAGCCAGUCCAGGGGGCUUAUCUUCAGCCCACUCCAGGAAUUUUACUAGGCAACCCAUACAGCUCAUCUAGCUCUGGCUUUAGCAAUCCUUUUGCGCACAGUCUCCAUUCCUCUGCCUGUGGGACGGUAAGGGUUAACACCAUUGCUUCUGGGUGGGGCAGGCUUAAAGUCAUAUUCCCCUGCUGCCUGAAAGCAAUCUGGGCUUGCAGUUUUCGAGUAAGCCUCUUCCUAUCAGGGGAACUGGGCAAUUCGGGAGGUAUAGGAAUUCAUGCUGGACCUCUAGUCCCCUUAUGACAUAUCUCUGGGGCCAGAAGAAUGGCCUUUUCUCUGGGACCCCUGUAGCCCCAACGAUAGUCAUAAUUUUUGGAUAGUGGCCCCACAGGCCAUGUCACUGCCGAGUGUUCAGCCCCAGUGGCUACCAUAAAGUCCAUCAGUUGGCCCCCUACUUUCACCAUGACCAUGGGCUCCUGGCAGCCUAAGGAGAUGGAGCCCGGUCUUGCCUAAUCUUCAUACCCUUCAGUUCCUGCCAGCCGGAUAAGGUCUUUAGAAAAUAUCUCCUUCAACCAAUUGCCAAGCAGAAAAUAUUUGAAUCCACCUAUGACCUGAAAGCCCCUGCUUCCAGUUGUCCCACCUUUCCAGACCAAACCAAUGUAUGUCUUACAUGCAUUGAUUGAUGUCUUUUGUCUCUCCAACACGUAUAAAACCAAGCUGUAGCCUGGCCACCUUGGGCACAUGUUCUUACAGUCUCCUGAAGGCUGUGGCAUAAGCCAUUGGUCACUCACAUUUGGCUCAAAAUAAAUAUCUUCAAAUAUUUUAUAGAGUUUGACUCUUUUUGUCAACAAAACCCUAGAAAUAAUUUUAAAAAGCAACUACCUGAGUUAUUGAGAGUGAAAAGAGGCAGA